RNAcentral lists this unclassified non-coding RNA (256 nucleotides) under uncultured Nocardiaceae bacterium. Its description in RNAcentral is "contains 16S-23S intergenic spacer region". Lineage: Bacteria; Bacillati; Actinomycetota; Actinomycetes; Mycobacteriales; Nocardiaceae. The record is from RNAcentral.
UCCGAGUUGACCCCGGCAGUCUCCUGCGAGUCCCCGCCAUUACGCGCUGGCAACACAGGACAAGGGUUGCGCUCGUUGCGGGACUUAACCCAACAUCUCACGACACGAGCUGACGACAGCCAUGCAUCACCUGUAUACCGACCACAAGGGGGGCCGUAUCUCUACGGCUUUCCGGUAUAUGUCAAACCCAGGUAAGGUUCUUCGCGUUGCAUCGAAUUAAGCCACAUGCUCCGCUGCUUGUGCGGAGCAUGUGGAU